AUGCACUUGAAGAAAAUGUAUCAGGAAAAUACAUGAUGCACUUGAAGAAAAUGUAUCAGCAAAAUACAUGAUGCAAAUUCAUGAAUUAUUAGGUGUCCAUUUAUAUUCCCAUGUCUCUAGAGUUAUCCAUGUGGUCCUAUAAAUAGAGGUCAUUCUUGUAGUCUCAUUGUAAGAAAAAAAAGAAGAAAACAUUAUUGAGUGUGCUGUAGCAACUCCAACUCAAAAACUAUCAAUAAAAAUUCAAGUUUUUCUUCAACACUUCGUUUCCGCACUAACAAAUUUGGUAUCAGAGCCAUAACUUGUGAUUGCAUUUUUUCAUGGCUUUCAUACAAACAGCUUCGUUGUUUACAUAUUCUUCCAGUCAAGUCCCAAUCUUCGAAGGCGAGCAUUAUGAAUACUGGAGCAUCCAAAUGCAAACUUUCUUCAUCUCCUUAGAUCUUUGGGAUGUCAUUGACGAUGAGGAGUACGAAGAACCAUCCGAAGACAAUGAAGAUUACGAAAAAUUGCAAAAAGAAUUUAAAAGAAAAGAUGCAAUGGCUCUCCGCUAUAUUCAACAAGGAGUCGGGAAAUCAAUUUUCCCUCGUAUCUUUGGUGUUAAAAAAGCCAAAGAUACUUGGGAAAUAUUGAUGCAAGAAUUGCAAGGAACGGAGAAAACAAUCGCCUUGAAACUUCAAUCCUUAUGGAGAGACUUUGAUAAUCUCCAAAUGGAAGAACGAGAAUCGAUUCGUGUUUUUUCUUCACGAGUAGCCGAGACAGUAAAUCAAAUCAAAAGUUGUGGUGACACAAUUACAGACAAAAGAGUCGUGGAGAAAAUGUUAAGAUGCCUUCCUCCAAAGUUUGACCAUGUUGCGGCCGCAAUUGAAGAAUCGAAAGACUUGUCCAAAAUGACCAUUUAUGAGUUAACCGGGUCACUUCUUGCCCAUGAGCAAAGGAUCAAUCGUUCGAGUAACCAAUCUACUACCGAACAAGCUUUCCAAUCAAAGCAAACAUCAAAAGGAGGAUCGAACAACUAUGGAGAACACAACAGAGGCUCGAAUCAAACAAAACAAAAAGAUAGCUAUUGGAAGAAGGGUGACAAGCAAAGCAAAUGGAAAGGCAAGCAAACACAAAUUUCUGGUGGUAACAAUCCAACUUGCAUAAUUUGCAAAAAAAUGAAUCAUGAAUCAAAGGAGUGCUACUUUAGAUGCAAAAGGUGCAAGAUCCCAAAUCAUUCGCAAAGGGAUUGUUGGUUUCAAAAUAAAGAGAUGACAGAAAGAAAAAGUGCAGCAAACUUUUCUCAAGAGAAUGAAAAGGAAAUUCUGUUUUAUUCUCAAAAUUAUGAAAAUGGAGCUCAAAGCCCUUGGUAUUUGGAUAGCGGUUGUAGCAAUCACAUGACGGGGAAUCGCGACAUCUUUGUGGACCUUAAUCCAAAUAUUACUUCACAAGUAAUUCUUGGCGAUGGAACAUGUAGAGAUGCGGUAGGAAAAGGCACCAUUGCUGUCCAAAUUAAAGAAGGUAACAAGAAACUCAUCACAGAUGUUCUUUAUGUUCCCAAUCUUUCUCAUAAUCUCCUAAGUGUUGGACAACUUAUUCAAAGUGACUUCUCUGUCCACUUUGAUGAUGGUGCAUGUAAAGUUUUUGACAAAAAGAAAAAUAUUUGUGUGGUAAAUAUUGAAAUGAAGAACAAGACAUUUCCUCUUAUGAUGCCACUAAAUGAGAAUUGUGCACUCAAGGCAAGAGACGAAGAUUUGGCGUAUUUGUGGCAUUUACGAUAUGGUCAUCUUCGUGAAAGAGGCCUUCGUUUACUCCAAAUGAAAAACAUGGUGACGGGACUUCCUAACAUCCAACACAUAGACAAAAUGUGCGAAUGAUGCAUCUAUGGGAAAUUGUACAAGUUGUCGUUUCCAAAAACUUCAUGGAGAACGAAAGCACCACUUGAGCUUGUGCACUCGGAUAUUUGUGGGCCAAUGCAAACUCCCACUUUUGGAAACAAGAGAUAUUUUAUUCUCUUUGUUGAUGACUUCACAAGAAUGAUAUGGGUUUUCUUCCUCAGUCAAAAAUCUGAGGCAUAUUCCACAUUUCUUCAAUUCAAAGCUCAAGCAGAAAGGCAAAGUGGUUUUUUGAUAAAAACUUUAAGGACCGAUCGUGGAGGUGAAUAUCUCUAUAAUCCUUUCAUGGAAUAUUGCAGAAAAAAUGGCAUCAAAAGACAAUUAACUGUGAGUCGAACUCCGCAACAAAAUGGCGUGGCCGAAAGAAAAAAUCGCACAAUUGUUGAAAUGGCAAGAAGCAUGCUAAAGGGCAAAGGACUUCCAAAUCUGUAUUGGGCAGAAGCUGUAAAUACGGCAGUAUACAUUCUCAAUCGGUCUCCAACAAAGGCUGUACGGAAUAAAACUCCAUACGAAGCUUGGAACAAAAAGAAGCUAAUGGUUGAUCACUUCAAAAUAUUUGGCAGCAUUGCUUAUGCUCUUAUCCCUUCUCAAAAACUUGUCUUUGUUGGAUAUAGUGAUGAAUCUAAAGGAUAUCGGUUAUUAGAUCCAACUACAAACAAAAUUACAGUUUCACGAGACGUUGUUUUUGAUGAAACUGCAUCUUGGGAUUGGAAAGGGAAAGAAGUUGUGGACCAGACACCAUACCAUUUUGUUGAUCCAUUAACAUUUCAAGCAGGUCCGUCACAAGUUGGAAAUUUAGAGCAUAAUCCAAACCCUACUACAAGAAGUGAGGAAGAAUCUGAUCCAGAAAGCCCUCCAAGAAAGACACGUUCACUACAAGACAUAUAUGAGUCAUGUGAACUUGGGUUGUUCUCUAGUGAACCACAAUCAUUUGAAGAAGCCUCAAAAGAAGUAUGUUGGACAAAAGCCAUGAAUGAAGAAAUGUCCACAAUCGAGAAAAACAAAACUUGGAAGCUUGUUGCCUUGCCAGAAGGGAAGAAAAUCAUUGGACUCAAGUGGGUCUAUAAAAUAAAAUACAAUGAAGAUGGGUCGAUCCAAAAGCACAAAGCACGUCUUGUUGCAAAAGGGUAUUCUCAACAGCCCGAAAUUGAUUACACUGAAACAUAUGCUCCGGUUGCAAGAAUGGAGACAAUUCGUACUGUUUUGGCACUGGCAGCUCAAUUGGAGGUAUGUGUUUAUCAACUUGAUGUAAAAUCGGCGUUCUUAAAUGGUGAAAUUCAAGAAGAAGUUUAUGUCGAGCAACCCGAAGGAUUUGAAAUCAAAGGACAAGAAGGAAAAGUCUAUCGUUUAUACAAGGCACUUUAUGGUUUAAAGCAAGCGCCGCGAGCAUGGAAUAGCAAAAUCAAUAGCUAUUUCAUCAAAAUGGAUUCAAUCGAAGCACGAGUGAAUCAUCUCUAUAUGUCAAUAAUCUUGGAAGAGACUUUCUUGUAGUAUGUCUUUAUGUGGAUGAUCUUCUAUACUUUGGUACAAGUAAAAGCAUGGUGGAAGAAUUCAAGAAAAAGAUGAUGAGAGACUUUGAGAUGAGUGACUUGGGUCAAAUGAAAUACUUUCUUGGCAUCCAAGUCAAACAAAGCCCGGGAAGAAUUUUUUUAUCUCAAGAGAAGUAUAUUGAUGAUCUUCUAGAAAAAUCCAGCAUGAACCAGUGCAAGCCAGUCUCUACUCCAAUGGGGCCGAAUGAAAAAUUCCAAGUCAAUGAUGAUGCUGAAAAAGUAGAUGCUACACUCUACCGAAAGUUAAUUGGUUCACUCAUCUACCUCAACACAAGGCCGGAUAUCACUCAAUCAGUGAGUUUACUUUCCAGGUUCAUGAAUGAACCAAGCAAGAAUCACUUUACGGCGGCAAAAAGAAUUUUGAGAUACCUUAAAGGUACAAAAAAUCAAGGCAUUGAGUUCAAAAAGGAAAAUAACUUCAACCUUGUUGGCUACACUGACAGUGAUUGGGCAGGCUCACUUGUUGACCGCAAAAGUACAUCGGGCUACAUCUUUUGUCUUGGAACAAAUAUUAUUUCAUGGAGUUCGAGGAAGCAAAGGUCUAUAGCACUAUCUUCUGCAGAAGCGGAAUACAUUGCAGCUGCGGAUGCCGCUUGUGAAGCAGUUUGGCUUAGAAGAAUUCUAAAAGACUUGAUGUUUGAACAACAAGAGCCAACAACAAUACAUUGCGACAAUAUUUCAGCAAUUGCUAUGACAAAAAAUCCAGUUUUUCAUGCCAGAUCGAAGCAUAUUGAACUACGUCAUCACUUCAUUCGAGAUUUGGUAAGUCGAGAAGAAAUUUGCAUGGAAUUUAUCAACACAAAUUAUCAGCCAGCAGACAUUUUAACAAAGGCAGUCACAUUUGACAAGUUCGACAAGAUCAAGGAAAAACUCAAGAUUACAAAUUAAGAGGGGGUGUUAAAUGUGGCAUUAAUUUAUAAUCUUAGGAAAUAAAUAAGGUUACAUGCACUUGAAGAAAAUGUAUCAGGAAAAUACAUGAUGUACUUGAAGAAAAUGUAUCAGCAAAAUACAUGAUGCAAAUUCAUGAAUUAUUAGGUGUCUAUUUAUAUUCCCAUGUCUCUAGAGUUAUCCAUGUGGUCCUAUAAAUAGAGGUCAUUCUUGUAGUCUCAUUGUAAGAAAAAAAAAAGAAGAAAACAUUAUUGAGUGUGCU
This 4568-nucleotide long non-coding RNA is filed under the name Olea europaea (common olive). Its description in RNAcentral is "long non-coding RNA (OEUR_LNC013989)". The record is from RNAcentral. Lineage: Eukaryota; Viridiplantae; Streptophyta; Magnoliopsida; Lamiales; Oleaceae.